RNAcentral lists this unclassified non-coding RNA (4685 nucleotides) under Haliotis rufescens (red abalone). RNAcentral describes it as "protein diaphanous homolog 2-like, transcript variant X1". The record is from RNAcentral. Lineage: Eukaryota; Metazoa; Mollusca; Gastropoda; Lepetellida; Haliotidae.
UUCGGGGCAAGCAGACGCGCAGUCACAAAGGAUAUUACAGGCUAAAGCCAUGGUUCCAUGAUGAACUUCAGGCACUGGAUGUCCGGGAAGGGAUACCACCAGCUGGACAAGGUUGGUGGAACUUUCCGUCUCGGAAAGGACCGGAACAAACAGAAGAGUGUGUCCAGCUAUCCCAAACAGUACAUUGAGGAUCAGAAUGGCAGUCAAGCCGAGCCGUCGUGGGAGACCACUGUCAAGGGUUAUACCACCGACGAGGUCAACGCUAGGUUCGAAGUCAUUUUGGAUGACAUGAACCUGACUGAGGAGAAAAAGGCUCCAUUGCGUUCCCGAGAUGAUAACUUGAAGAGAUCCAUGCUAGUGAUGCAUUACAAGGGCAAGGCAAAGCCUCGGAAAGGAGAGCCUGACCAGGCAGAAGAUUUCAUCACACAGUUGCGGAAUGCAGAUCUCAAAGGAGCGAAGCGCCUCAGUGUGUUGGAGUCGCUGCGGGUGUCACUCACCAGUAACCCUGUCAGCUGGGUCCAAGGCUUUGGAGAACAAGGACUCAAUGCUGUUCUGCGUAAUUUGACAUACUGCUGUGAUUCGAAGGCUGAAAGGAGAAGCACCUACGAGUGUGUGCGAUGCCUAAAGGCGUACAUGAAUAAUAAGUUCGGUUUGAUGGAAAUAUUAAAUCACGAAGAAGCUUUAACCAUCCUCUCUCGGACCGUCGACCCCUCCGACCCACAAACCAUGCUUGAAGCUGUUCGUCUCCUUGCUGCCAUAUGUCUUGUUCCGCCCAAUGGACACGAGAGGGCUCUGGAGGGCAUCACAGUGUGCGGGGAGAUCCGGAGCCAAGAGCGUUUCAUCCCUAUCAUCAUGGGGAUGGGCAUGAGGGACAACCUCCCUAUGCAGCUUGCCUGCAUACAACUUGUCAAUGCACUUGUGAGUACGCCGGACGACCUCGACUUCCGAUUACAUCUACGGAAUGAAAUCAUGAGGACAGGCAUGAUCGACCUGAUGCCGACACUAGAUGGGCAGACGGACGAUGAGGUAAAGACACAGGUCCAGAUCUUCCAUGAACACAAAGAUGAAGAUGCUGAAGAGUUCUCUCACAGAUACGACAACGUCCACAUGGAGAUAGACGAUUCCGGCCAGUGCUUCGAACUGAUUGCUGCUUCCAUCAAGGACACCGUGUCGGAGCCCUACUUCCUGUCAAUCCUGCAGCACCUGCUGACUAUCCGAGAUGACCUGUACUCCAGACCCCAGUAUUACAAACUCAUAGAGGAGUGUGUCACCCAGAUAGUGCUGCAUAAGAGUGGCGUGGAUCCCGACUUCCGGCACACCAAGAGAUUUGAAAUAGAUGUCGAACCUCUUCUAAGUAGUUUAUCGGAGAAGUCCAAGUUUGAGGACUCCAAUGUGAAUAUCGGGGAGAUGAACACAAAGCUGGAGGCAGCACUGACGGCCAAGCAGGAGUCGGAGGCCAAGGCCACGAGUCUGGACGAGAAGAUCAAGGGAUAUGAGCAGGAGCUGGCUCAACUCAAAGAAAAGAUUUCUCAGGGAAUAGGGACAGUUGUGAGCAGUGCACUGAACAAGGGGCCUGGUGGUGGCCCUCCCCCACCCCCAGGGGGUGGCCCGCCCCCACCCCCUCCUCCCCCUCCCCCACCUGGUGGAGGUCCACCACCCCCACCUCCUCCUCCACCCCCUCCUGGUGGUGGCCCACCACCACCUCCGCCCCCACCCCCUCCAGGUGGGGGACCUCCUCCGCCCCCACCCCCUCCCGGGGCGCCCCGACCACCCGGAGCUUUCAGUCCCCCUGGCGCCCCCUCUCCCCCAACAAACGUACUACCAUUUGGCAUGCAGCCCAAGAAGAAAUACUCUACAAAUACACAGACCAAGAGGUUGAACUGGAACAAGGUGAAUGCACGUGUGUUGGACAAAGACUCUCUGUGGGUGAAGAUAUCGGAAGAAGCAUUUGAAAGUGACAUUUUGUUCAAGGAUCUUGAAGAAUGCUUUGCUGUGAAAGCACCAGCGAAGAAAGAGACAAGUGAAAAUGUGGACAUCAAACCAAAGAAGAAGUCGAAAGAAUUGCGUGUGCUGGAUCCUAAAGCAGGACAGAAUCUGUCUAUCCUCCUGGGGUCGAUCAAGGUGCCAUAUAAGGAAAUAAAGCGGCGGAUCCUGGCCAUUGAUGAUGAGAACUUGUCGGAAGCCAUGUUGGAACAACUGCUGAAGUACAUGCCUACGCCGGAGCAGAUGAACCAGAUCGCCAGUAUGAAGGACCAGUAUAACGAUCUCGCAGAACCCGAACAGUUCGCGGUGGAGAUGUCGACUAUCAAGCGAAUCACUCCUCGUCUCACCUCCAUGCUGUUCAAGAUGAGAUUUUCUGAGAUUGUGGCUGACAUUAAGCCUGACUUGGUGGCAGCAACAGAGGCGUGUGAAGAAGUGAAGAACAGUAAGAAGUUCGCCCGUCUGCUGGAAUUCAUCCUCGUCAUCGGCAACUACCUCAACGCCGGCUCUCGGAAUGCACAAUCACUUGGCUUUGAGAUCAGCUUCCUCAGCAAGUUGGACAACACCAAGUCUCAGGAUGGGAAGACAACUCUGAUGCACUUCCUGGCACAGACAGUUGAAGAGAAACACCCAGACCUAGUUGGCUUCAUGGAGGAGCUGACACACACGGAGAAGGCAGCUCGAGUGUCUGACGAGACGCUGCAGAAGAACCUGAAGCAGAUGGAGAAGCAGGUGAAGCAGCUGGACAUCGACAUCAAGAACAUCAGCAAGACGAGUUCUGAGGGAGACAGGUUCGCUGAGGUCAUGGAGGUGUUCAUUAAAGUUGCCAGCGAGCAGCACGACGUCCUCAGUACGAUGUAUAAGAAGCUGGACUCCCUGUUUAAGGAGCUGGCGAAGUAUCUGUGCUUCGACACCAAGAAAUACUCAGUUGAAGAUUUCUUUGGAGACCUAAAAAAUUUCAAAGAAUCGUUUAAUAAAGCUAUGAAAGAGAAUGCCAAAAUGCGUGAGACGCAGGAGAAGAUACGACGCGCCAAGGAAGCCAAGGAGAAGGCAGAGAGGGAGAAGAAGGAGAAGAAAGCCAGGCAGAUUGCGAUACUGGACAUGACCACAGAUGAUGACCAAGAGGGCGUGAUGGACAACCUGCUGGAGGCACUCAAGACAGGGUCGGCUUUCAGCGUCAACCGGGAGAAACGAGACGGCAAGCGCCGGACACCACGGGCAGCAGGGGACCGUAUAUCGAACCUGUCAAGGUCGCGGGUAUGGAAAGAUAGUCCUAUUAAGGCUGAGGUGACAUAUCAUAUCUUAGCAUGAUCAUGUGGUGCAGUCAUGUGACUCGUGCAUGACCAAUUAGAUCCUUGGAUUGUAACCUCCACGUGACUAUUGACUCAUCGAGCUUUGCAUGUGAUCGUCAUCUGCUGUUUUACUUUCAGUUCUCUCAUCGUUAUUUUAUGUUGCCGUCAUCAUCAAUAGGAAUUAGCUUGGCCUCUCCGAAGAACACGCAAAAUUCUUUUUUUUAUUUUACGGCGCCUCAAUCACGAUCUCAACAUUUGAUCUCAAUCCAGUCAUCACAGUAAUGGGAACAUACCCCUAUUGGAUAUCCUGAUUCACCCAGGAUCCGCUCAGGAUUAUCUUUCACAACUAACAGAUCGUGAUUGAGGGUCAUAUUUUGUUAAAGCAGUAUAGGGCAAUUCCUUUCGUUUCCCAAGUGUUCGGUUGUAGUACACAGUGUGUGUUGUUUGGAGAGAGCCUUUAGUAUGUGUUGUACUCAUUUCGUGCCUUCAGGGAUGACAAUCUGCCACAGAUUUGACCUUGACCCUUGACCACAAAUUUGACCUUGACCCCUUGACCACAAAUUUGACCUUGACCCCUUGACCACAAAUUUGACCUUGACCUCCAAACCUUUGUCUAUUUAACUGAACUAUUUUAUGGCAGUUGUCAUCCCUUUGAACUGACAUUUCAGGGCUGUUGCUAAAAUAAUGUUACCAUGGUGACAGAGGGAAGUCACAUUAUAUGAAUGGAUGUUCCCAUUGCUAUGUCUUUAACUACUUUUCCUCCAGGUAAACUGGUUUAAAAUCAAUAAGUAUAGAAUGGUAAAAGUAGUCUUUUACUGUUGUGUUUCGCAGGAUUCGUCUUUGAUUAGCUAAAGUAUAGGCUUUCAACAGGCUUUUAUACAGGAUGCGAACCAUCAUUUGAUUGGAGCUUUUACCCCUUUGAUAACCAAUCAUGAAAGUCCAAGGAUUUUAAUGAUCAUGUAUUGUUAACACAGAUUAUAAUAAUACUUGGUUUUAUUGGAAAUAUCUACCAUUGCUAUAUACUUGUAAAAUAACUAGUCUGCUGUACUCUCUAACAGGAAAUGCAUGGACCUGUAUUGAUAACACUUUAAUGUCUAAUGGCAUGAUUCUUACAUGUUUUGUAUGGCCACAGCUACUUGUGGCACUGAGCAUAAUUUUUUACUCGAUGCUGAUCUUAGAAGAACAAAUUAUUUUUGCAAAUGUAGAAUUUGUAACAAGAACAAUUUAGAUUGAAUUUUUCACUUCCUUCUCUUCUGCUGCUCAGGAUUGGCAGGACUAAGACUUAGACAGCGGAAAGGAGAGCUCAACUCGCACGGUCGCGGUCUCGACAGAACCUCCUACAGUUAGACAGUUCCACGGUAAAAGAAAUAAACUUUGACGAAUCCCACGCUAAUGAGAUUCCGAAUCAACCAC